Molecule: ribosomal RNA, 678 nt
Filed under: uncultured bacterium
Lineage: Bacteria
Description: bacterial SSU rRNA
Rfam family: Bacterial small subunit ribosomal RNA
Source: RNAcentral
AACGAACGCUGGCGGCAGGCUUAACACAUGCAAGUCGAGCGCCCCGCAAGGGGAGCGGCAGACGGGUGAGUAACGCGUGGGAAUCUACCCAUCUCUACGGAAUAACGCAUGGAAACGUGUGCUAAUACCGUAUACGUCCUUCGGGAGAAAGAUUUAUCGGAGAUGGAUGAGCCCGCGUUGGAUUAGCUAGUUGGUGGGGUAAAGGCCUACCAAGGCGACGAUCCAUAGCUGGUCUGAGAGGAUGAUCAGCCACACUGGGACUGAGACACGGCCCAGACUCCUACGGGAGGCAGCAGUGGGGAAUAUUGGACAAUGGGCGCAAGCCUGACCCAGCCAUGCCGCGUGAGUGAUGAAGGCCCUAGGGUUGUAAAGCUCUUUCACCGGUGAAGAUAAUGACGGUAACCGGAGAAGAAGCCCCGGCUAACUUCGUGCCAGCAGCCGCGGUAGUACGAAGGGGGCUAGCGUUGUUCGGAUUUACUGGGCGUAAAGCGCACGUAGGCGGACUAUUAAGUCAGGGGUGAAAUCCCGGGGCUCAACCCCGGAACUGCCUUUGAUACUGGUAGUCUUGAGUUCGAGAGAGGUGAGUGGAAUUCCGAGUGUAGAGGUGAAAUUCGUAGAUAUUCGGAGGAACACCAGUGGCGAAGGCGGCUCACUGGCUCGAUACUGACGCUGAGGUGC